Molecule: ribosomal RNA, 417 nt
Filed under: uncultured bacterium
Lineage: Bacteria
Description: bacterial SSU rRNA
Rfam family: Bacterial small subunit ribosomal RNA
Source: RNAcentral
GGACGCUCAUGAGGGUUUCGGCCCUUGUGGGAGUGGCGGACGGGUGAGUAGCGCGUGGGAACCUGCCUUGGAGUGGGGGAUAACCGAGGGAAACUUCGGCUAAUACCGCAUACGCCCCGGCGUGAGCCGGGGGAAAGAUUGAUCGCUCCAAGAGGGGCCCGCGUCGGAUUAGGUAGUUGGUGGGGUAACGGCCUACCAAGCCUUUGAUCCGUAGCUGGUCUGAGAGGAUGAUCAGCCACACUGGGACUGAGACACGGCCCAGACUCCUACGGGAGGCAGCAGUGGGGAAUAUUGGACAAUGGGCGCAAGCCUGAUCCAGCAAUGCCGCGUGAGUGAUGAAGGCCUUAGGGUUGUAAAGCUCUUUCGCCCGCGACGAUGAUGACGGUAGCGGGAGAAGAAGCCCCGGCUAACUUCGUG